RNAcentral lists this ribosomal RNA (497 nucleotides) under uncultured bacterium. RNAcentral describes it as "partial 16S ribosomal RNA". It matches the Rfam family "Bacterial small subunit ribosomal RNA", at positions 28 to 507 of the family's 1533-position model. The record is from RNAcentral.
GAUGAACGCUGGCGGCGUGCCUAAUACAUGCAAGUCGAGCGAACAGACGAGGAGCUUGCUCCUCUGGCGUUAGCGGCGGACGGGUGAGUAACACGUGGAUAACCUACCUAUAAGACUGGGAUAACUUCGGGAAACCGGAGCUAAUACCGGAUAAUAUAUUGAACCGCAUGGUUCAAUAGUGAAAGACGGUUUUGCUGUCACUUAUAGAUGGAUCCGCGCCGCAUUAGCUAGUUGGUAAGGUAACGGCUUACCAAGGCAACGAUGCGUAGCCGACCUGAGAGGGUGAUCGGCCACACUGGAACUGAGACACGGUCCAGACUCCUACGGGAGGCAGCAGUAGGGAAUCUUCCGCAAUGGGCGAAAGCCUGACGGAGCAACGCCUCGUGAGUGAUGAAGGUCUUCGGAUCGUAAAACUCUGUUAUUAGGGAAGAACAAAUGUGUAAGUAACUAUGCACGUCUUGACGGUACCUAAUCAGAAAGCCACGGCUAACUACGUG